This 223-nucleotide long non-coding RNA is filed under the name Lathyrus oleraceus (garden pea). RNAcentral describes it as "Pisum sativum (pea) long non-coding RNA (PSAT_LNC012568)". Lineage: Eukaryota; Viridiplantae; Streptophyta; Magnoliopsida; Fabales; Fabaceae. The record is from RNAcentral.
AAGGAAACAAAUUGGAAUUAAUAAAAACCUCAAAGCGGAUUCUGAAUUACAGCAGGUUGAUUCAAAAGGGAUUAGUUCUCCAUAGUCAUCUUGCUAGCUCUCAAAAAAUCGUACAUGAACAGAAAAACGUAACCCUGUUUUUGGCUGCCUCCGCUAGGUAAAAACACCCAAACCCGUUUCACAACUCAACCGGGUCAAAUGUACGAUCCAGGCCCAAUACAAC